GGCUCAGGAUGAACGCUAGCGACAGGCUUAACACAUGCAAGUCGAGGGGCAGCGGGGGAGUAGCAAUACUCCCGCCGGCGACCGGCGCACGGGUGAGUAACACGUAUGAAACCUGCCCGUAGCAGGGGGGGAUAAGCGGAAGAAAUUCCGUCUAAUACCGCGUAACAACCCUUGGAGGCAUCUCCUCGGGUUUAAAGGAAGCGAUUCCGGCUACGGAUGGUCAUGCGUCGCAUUAGCUGGUUGGCGGGGUAACGGCCCACCAAGGCGACGAUGCGUAGGGGUUCUGAGAGGAAGGUCCCCCACACUGGUACUGAGACACGGACCAGACUCCUACGGGAGGCAGCAGUGAGGAAUAUUGGUCAAUGGCCGCAGGGCUGAACCAGCCAAGUCGCGUGAGGGAUGACGGUCCUAUGGAUUGUAAACCUCUUUUGUCAGGGAGCAAAGGGCGCCACGUGUGGCGCUUUGCGAGUACCUGAAGAAAAAGCAUCGGCUAACUCCGUGCCAGCAGCCGCGGUAAUACGGAGGAUGCGAGCGUUAUCCGGAUUUAUUGGGUUUAAAGGGUGCGCAGGCGGAAUGUCAAGUCAGCGGUAAAAUUUCGGGGCUCAACCCCGUCGUGCCGUUGAAACUGGCGUUCUUGAGUGAGCGAGAAGUAUGCGGAAUGCGUGGUGUAGCGGUGAAAUGCAUAGAUAUCACGCAGAACUCCGAUUGCGAAGGCAGCAUACCGGCGCUCAACUGACGCUCAUGCACGAAAGCGUGGGUAUCGAACAGGAUUAGAUACCCUGGUAGUCCACGCAGUAAACGAUGAAUA
This 808-nucleotide ribosomal RNA is filed under the name uncultured bacterium. Its description in RNAcentral is "bacterial SSU rRNA". It matches the Rfam family "Bacterial small subunit ribosomal RNA", at positions 21 to 815 of the family's 1533-position model. The record is from RNAcentral.